GGGCUCUAACUUCAUUUUCCCGGGCAGCUUUUGUGAUUUAGCAAUUGUGACUUUUGCAAAUUGCAUAGUCACAAAAGUGAUCGGGGAGGUGGAACAAUCCA
RNAcentral lists this microRNA precursor (101 nucleotides) under Lottia gigantea (owl limpet). Its description in RNAcentral is "microRNA lgi-mir-153 precursor". Its record names the gene lgi-mir-153. The stretch from base 17 to 88 matches the Rfam family "mir-153 microRNA precursor family". Lineage: Eukaryota; Metazoa; Mollusca; Gastropoda; Lottiidae. The record is from miRBase by way of RNAcentral.